This 541-nucleotide ribosomal RNA is filed under the name Salmonella enterica subsp. enterica. RNAcentral describes it as "partial 23S ribosomal RNA". It matches the Rfam family "Bacterial large subunit ribosomal RNA", at positions 424 to 966 of the family's 2925-position model. Lineage: Bacteria; Pseudomonadati; Pseudomonadota; Gammaproteobacteria; Enterobacterales; Enterobacteriaceae. The record is from RNAcentral.
ACGUGGUAUCCUGUCUGAAUAUGGGGGGACCAUCCUCCAAGGCUAAAUACUCCUGACUGACCGAUAGUGAACCAGUACCGUGAGGGAAAGGCGAAAAGAACCCCGGCGAGGGGAGUGAAAAAGAACCUGAAACCGUGUACGUACAAGCAGUGGGAGCACCCUUUUGGGUGUGACUGCGUACCUUUUGUAUAAUGGGUCAGCGACUUAUAUUCUGUAGCAAGGUUAACCGUAUAGGGGAGCCGGAGGGAAACCGAGUCUUAACCGGGCGUUAAGUUGCAGGGUAUAGACCCGAAACCCGGUGAUCUAGCCAUGGGCAGGUUGAAGGUUGGGUAACACUAACUGGAGGACCGAACCGACUAAUGUUGAAAAAUUAGCGGAUGACCUGUGGCUGGGGGUGAAAGGCCAAUCAAACCGGGAGAUAGCUGGUUCUCCCCGAAAGCUAUUUAGGUAGCGCCUCGUGAAUUCAUCUCCGGGGGUAGAGCACUGUUUCGGCUAGGGGGUCAUCCCGACUUACCAACCCGAUGCAAACUGCGAAUACCGG